RNAcentral lists this ribosomal RNA (253 nucleotides) under uncultured bacterium. RNAcentral's name for it is "partial 16S ribosomal RNA". It matches the Rfam family "Bacterial small subunit ribosomal RNA", at positions 524 to 776 of the family's 1533-position model. The record is from RNAcentral.
UACGUAGGGGGCAAGCGUUGUCCGGAUUUAUUGGGCGUAAAGAGCGUGUAGGCGGCUAGGUAGGUCCGUUGUGAAAACUCGAGGCUCAACCUCGAGACGUCGAUGGAAACCAUCUAGCUAGAGUCCGGAAGAGGAGAGUGGAAUUCCUGGUGUAGCGGUGAAAUGCGCAGAUAUCAGGAAGAACACCCGUGGCGAAGGCGGCUCUCUGGUACGUGACUGACGCUGAGGAGCGAAAGCGUGGGGAGCAAACAGG